UAUUAGUCAAUGCUCGAAAGAGUGAACUAGCUAACUGAAAUCAAUAAUGUGUCAUUAUUGAUAACGUAAGGGAAAAUAAUGAUUGUACCUUACUAUUAGUGUCGUCCAAAUACUCGUGCCAGAAGACUCGGUAAGGCGAGAGACGCAAACGUUAGUCGUCUUAAUCAGGCGUAAAGGGUUUGUAGGCAGUUUUAAGAAUUAAUACUAAUAUUGUUAAUCAAUUAAAACUAGAAUCAAGAAGAGGUUAUAUUAAAUAAUAUCUAGCGUAAGGUUGGUAACUUAAAAUACUAGGUAGAAUAUUAACGGCGAAGGCUUUUUUCCAAUAAUGAUUGACGCUGAGAAACUAAGGUGGGGACAGAAAAAAGGAUUAGAGACCCUUGUAUCCCUCACUGUCAACGAUGAAUGGUAGUUACUAAAUAUUUAUUUAGAGAUGAUGUUAACACGAAAACCAUUCCGCCUUGUGAGUACGACUGCAAAGUUGAAAACAAAAAAAUUAGUCGGUCUCGGAGCAAACGAAGUGGAGCAUGUUAUUUAAU
This 536-nucleotide ribosomal RNA is filed under the name Rigidoporus cuneatus. Its description in RNAcentral is "SSU rRNA". It matches the Rfam family "Bacterial small subunit ribosomal RNA", at positions 362 to 950 of the family's 1533-position model. Lineage: Eukaryota; Fungi; Basidiomycota; Agaricomycetes; Polyporales; Meripilaceae. The record is from RNAcentral.